This is a long non-coding RNA of Dermochelys coriacea (leatherback sea turtle), 2131 nucleotides long. RefSeq lists it as uncharacterized. Lineage: Eukaryota; Metazoa; Chordata; Testudines; Dermochelyidae. The record is from RefSeq and is a predicted model, not a curated record. The transcript has 2 exons.
UGGAAUAAACUAAUGAGAUAUCUAAUCAGGGCAUAUGCAGCUCUUCAUUGAAAAGGCACCUGCUGUAAGGAUUUCCUUUAGGAAAGUGGGUGUUGGAGCAUUCCUGCAUUCAAAUGUAGCUCCUAUCACCUCCCCAGUGAGAAACAGCGCUAAGGCAGAGAAAGGGAGGCCUGAUGUAGCUUUUCAAAUUGAUGCUGCUUGUGGAGAGGAACAAACAGUUCAUCUCCAACAGAGGGGCUGGCUCUUGUCAUUUAUUCAUCUCCAGCCCCCUGCCUGGAUGGAAAUAAAAAUGUUUCAAAGAAGGCUGUGUGGGGGAGCUGGAGGACAGCUUGGAAGCACAGUGAGAUUGCAGAUUAGCUGUUUGGAUUAACAUCCCCUCCUCCCCCCACAAGCCCACACAGAAAGGAUAUUUGAAGCCCAGACCCUGUGACACAGCAGACCUGUCAAAUCUAAUUCACAACACAUGCCCAGCAGUACUUAGGGGAAAGGAAGGAACUGAUGCUCUGGCUCCCCACCUUCCCCAGGUACAAAGGGGCCAUUUAAUGACUGUAUAUUAGCAACAUGGACAAUUAGCAUUCACAUGGAAGAUGGAUGGCAGCAUAAAUUAAAUACUGCCAAGUGAAAGAGAGAAUAUGGAAGAGCUGAUCUCCAGGCUGUAAACCAACAAACAGAAAAAGGGAAUAAACAGCCAGUCCAGAGAGUUGCCUCCCAGCCUACUGUGACUCCUCCCAGCACAAAUCUCCUGGCACUUUUACAUGGUUUCUGUCCCCACCCUCAGUGGCCACUGAUUCUUGAGCAGAGAGAACAUUCCACUCAAGGAUCUGGAUCUCAGAGUGAUUUACAAAUGCAAAGGGGAUGCCUGUGACAUUAAGCUACACUCUGUGUUGGGAGCUACACACCAGUUGCCUCUCCCGGAGGCAUUGCACCUGCCUCAUGCACAAUGCCUGCAGGAGCCCGGGAGACACACAAGUCUGAGCAGCUCCUGCUGCACUCUUUUUCAGAGAGCAGAGUGCACUCUCCUCCACAAUGGCCCAGGUUUGCUGGCUGGCGAGGAACAAAGGAGGUAUAUCAUUCCAUCCUUCCCAACUCCUUUUGUGGAGUUUGGUACCUCUUAUAGUGCUAACAUCUCCCUGAACCUCAGAACUGCAAGAACUGGGCCUGCCUCUGGCCCCUGUGCCAAGCUGAAUGGUGGGGGAAAGUGCUCUUCCCUGUUUACUUAUCUGUGCAGGGCUAAGAUCAACAAAUUAAUUAAGCCUCAAAAGCCCCAUCAGGUAGAUAAGUAUCGUAGACCCUAUUUCAGACACAGAAAACUAAUCUAGAGGCAGCAUACAACAUAAAGAAACAAAAACCCCUCUCCUACAGCUCCCUGUGGGAUAAUGGCCAGAUGGUGAUAUUCUAAAGCCUGCCAGAACAGUAACUCCAUAGAGUAAUGGUCAAUUCAAGUUUAUUCACAACUCAGCAAGUCAAAACUGUUUCUGGACAAGUCAAUACAUCUUACUAAAAUGUUAAAAAUGAAAAGGUGGAGCAGAAAGGUGAUAGAAACCUUAGGAUUGCGCAGCGGGAUCAGACCAACCCAACAAUGGUCAGUAGUAGAUGCUUUGGAGAAAGGGGAACCCCUGCCCACAACCACAUGAGACAAUUAUGGUUUAUCCUGCUUAAGGGGGAAAUGGCUUCCUAGAUUCAAGUUUCUUACUUUAUACUUAUGUCAGGAAGAAAAGGAUUUGCCCUGUAUUUUAUUCUGAUAAGCAUUUCAUUCUGUUGUCAAUAAAUAAUAAACAACAACAAUAAUUUCUUUGAACUAAAAUGGCAUUUUCCAUCUAAGGACCUGAAAGUAUUUUACAAAAAUCAAUGAAUUUAACCACAUGAUCUCUCUGAAUGGGAGGCAAUUAUUACUUUGCACACAGGGAAACUGAGGCGGAGGAGGGCUAAGUGAUACAAUUCACUAAUAAAAUAUGGAUUUCCUGACUCCCAGUCCUGUGUCUUAAAAAGGUUAAAAUGGGCUUUCCUGUGCCAGCAAACACACUGUCUUCCCCCUACUUUGGUGCUAGGAUUACCAGAGCACAGCCCUUCUGUCCUUUCUUGUGCCAUCAGAUCUGUGCAGUUAAUUUUCUAGUCCUUUGAUUUUUCCAGA